This 253-nucleotide ribosomal RNA is filed under the name uncultured bacterium. RNAcentral describes it as "partial 16S ribosomal RNA". It matches the Rfam family "Bacterial small subunit ribosomal RNA", at positions 524 to 776 of the family's 1533-position model. The record is from RNAcentral.
UACGUAGGUGGCAAGCGUUGUCCGGAUUUACUGGGCGUAAAGAGCGCGCAGGCGGUCGUUCAAGUCGCGUGUGAAAGCCCCCGGCUCAACUGGGGAGGGUCACGCGAUACUGAUCGACUCGAAGGCAGGAGAGGGAAGUGGAAUUCCCGGUGUAGUGGUGAAAUGCGUAGAUAUCGGGAGGAACACCAGUGGCGAAGGCGGCAUCCUGGACCGAGAUUGACGCUGAUGCGCGAAAGCCAGGGGAGCAAACGGG